GUCUCCGACGCUUCCUUCUGGGUGUUACAAACUUCGUGGCAAACUUAAUAUACCCUGUUCAGGGAAUAAUUAAGACAAGUCUGUGACGCUUGAAAGUCAGUCUAUUCUUUUGAGACUUCAAUGGAAAUGGUUAAGCUUGGACUCGACCAACAAGUUCCCUUUAGCAAUUAACAUACAUAUGUAUGUAUGUAUGUAUGUAUGUAUGUAUAGCUUUUUGUCUACCAACUCAUCAUUUACUCAUCAACAGUAGAUCACACGUAUGUAUGUAAGUCGUGUCAAGCUG
Molecule: long non-coding RNA, 283 nt
Filed under: Bactrocera tryoni
Lineage: Eukaryota; Metazoa; Arthropoda; Insecta; Diptera; Tephritidae
Description: uncharacterized LOC120771657, transcript variant X1
Source: RNAcentral